Molecule: long non-coding RNA, 2268 nt
Organism: Spodoptera frugiperda (fall armyworm)
Lineage: Eukaryota; Metazoa; Arthropoda; Insecta; Lepidoptera; Noctuidae
Exons: 2
Source: RefSeq, a predicted model, not a curated record
UCCCUCCUAAACACAUUUUAUAAUCGUUUGAGUAUUCCUAUACAUAUAAUAACAUUAAAAUUCUUUAUUUUUUAAUUCUAAUAUAGCACAACACACAGUGGGACAAUAAGGGUGGAAUAUCUAAGUGUCAGAGGUAUAACAUUAUAGCAGGCAAUUUUUCAAAAACAAAUAAUAUUUUUGUAUCUAUAGGGUGACUGGUAAUUAGUGAACGAUAUUUAAACACGUGAUUGUACUCAUGAUUACAAACAACUUUCCCAAAGAAACAUCUUUGUAUACUCAUUAGUCUUACUUUUAUCACAAUAACAAAAAUUCAUUAGCACGCGCGCGUUAAAUUCCGAAAUACCUACCUAGUUACUAGUCUUCCGAUAACGCGGGCGCCUCGCUGCUAACAGCUGAUCUUGUGAAAUAACGCGCUAGCUUAAGCUAGCUUAAUCUGUUUCAUUAUUGUGAUAAAAUUAAAACCAAUGAGUAUACAAAACAAGUGUCUUCGGGAAAGUUGUUUGUAAUCAUGAGUACAAUCACGUGUUUAAAUAUCGUUUACUAAUUACCAGCCACCCUAUAUGUAACUAGCUUCUACCAGCGGCUUUGCCCACGUUCUCGUGGGAUAAAAAGUAGCCUAUGUGUUAUUCCAAACCAUAAUCUACCCCUGUUCCAAAUUUCAUCUCAACCUCUUCAGCCGUUUUGACGUGAUUGAGUAACAAAGAUACACACAAACUUUCGCAUUUAUAAUAUUUAGUAAGAUGUAUGUAAAAGGGAUUUUUGAAAUGAAUUACGAUUAUAAACUUUAAAUGUACUAGUGGUAAGGUAUAUUUUGGGAUGUAAUCUAUUCUUCUAUGUAUAUUUUAUCUAAUAAUGAGAAUAUGGACUCCUAUGUAAAUACAAUGAAAUUAGAAACUGAUUUCUCAAUGUAAAUAUUUAAAUAAAUAAAUGUGAACUCUAUUUCCUAGUGCUUAAAGUUGAAUUUUAAGUGUCUUAUUGGAUUAGCUAUUAAAAAAUUUAAAAUACAUAUUUCAGCAUACGAUCAGUCGUGUAUAAGGUGUUCUAAAAGUAUCUGCCACGGCUUUAAUGGGAGGUAGUGUUGUGUUUGAAGAUUGCAAUAGUGAAGAAAUUUCGUACCCUUUUUUUGAGGGGAAAAUCAUCCAAUGACUUCUCCCGCCUUGGGCGAGGCGAGAGGGAGUGUCAGACUCUUACUGACUAAAAACCACCCCGUCCCUUCUCCUGCUUUUCGAGCCGGAGCCCCGGUAAACCCGCUAGGUAGUUCGCAGCUCCGGAAAUUUCGUACCCCGGACCAGUUAAUUCAAAAUUAACUUAACCUGUACCUAUAAUCUGUAAGUCUUUAAGAAUCAGACUCCCAUUCCCAGAUCAAAAUGUCAGAGAACGACCUUGAUCCGGAGCUGCGGACUACCUAGCGGGUUUACCGGGGCUCCGGCUCGAAAAGCAGGAGUAGGAACGGGGUGGUUUUUAGUCAGUAAGAGUCUGACACUCUCUUUCGCCUCGCCCAGGGCGGGAGAAGAGAUUGGAUGAUUUUCUCCCCUCAAAAAACCGGUUUUAAUGGGAGGUAGUGUUAUGUUUGAAGAUUACAAUAGUGAAGAAAUUUCGUAGCCUGGGCAUGUAUGUGUUGAAAUAUUUAUCUAUCUAUUAUACUUAUGUAAGUAAAACUCACAAUUUUAUUAUAAUAAUAUAUUCAAAUAAAUAUACGACAUAUUAUUUUGUAGUUUUAUUAUAAUAGUAUGCAUCUCCGUGUGAUGGCUUGGUCCCUAUCCCUUCAUAAGGCAAAGGGAAUAUUUUUACCACCAUGUUUACUUCAACGAAAAGUUCAGUGAAUAUUAAAAAAAGUAAAUAUUACAAAAAAGUGAAUAUUACAAAUAUUCCCUUUGCCUUGUAAAGGAUUAUAUUAGUUCUAAUUUUAGAUAGUGUUACAUGCGUUGAAAAAAAGGAUAUGUUGUGUUGAUUAUCAUUUUCGUUCAUAAAAAUUUUUUGCCGGACUGUAGUGUAGUGCAGUGUCGAUGCUGAGUCCCUAGGCAGUUGCCUACUCUGCCUUAAGGUUAAGCCGGCUCCGAUCACUGAGCAGGGCCCAUUUGUUGUGUCACAGUGCACAAUCACAUUAUGGCAUCUCCUCUUUGUACUAGCUUCAUACUGAAUAAUUUUACACAAAAUUAAAACUACAAAUUCAACAAUAACAACAUUAUUUAUUAUUUAAAUCAAUACAGAAAUAACUUAUAAUUACCUUCCCAUAAUUAGGUACUUAAAACAAUAUAUGUACUUAUA